CCUACGGGGUGCUGCAGUGAGGAAUAUUGGUCAAUGGACGAGAGUCUGAACCAGCCAAGUAGCGUGAAGGAUGACUGCCCUAUGGGUUGUAAACUUCUUUUAUAUGGGAAUAACAUGUUCCACGUGUGGGAUUUUGUAUGUACCAUAUGAAUAAGGAUCGGCUAACUCCGUGCCAGCAGCCGCGGUAAUACGGAGGAUCCGAGCGUUAUCCGGAUUUAUUGGGUUUAAAGGGAGCGUAGGUUGAUUGUUAAGUCAGUUGUGAAAGUUUGCGGCUCAACCGUAAAAUUGCAGUUGAAACUGGCAGUCUUGAGUACAGUAGUGGUGGGCGGAAUUCGUGGUGUAGCGGUGAAAUGCUUAGAUAUCACGAAGAACUCCGAUUGCGAAGGCAGUUCACUGGACUGCAACUGACACUGAGGCUCGAAAGUGUGGGUAUCAAACAGGAUUAGAUACCCCGGUAGUC
This 460-nucleotide ribosomal RNA is filed under the name uncultured bacterium. Its description in RNAcentral is "partial 16S ribosomal RNA". It matches the Rfam family "Bacterial small subunit ribosomal RNA", at positions 338 to 795 of the family's 1533-position model. The record is from RNAcentral.